This 138-nucleotide ribosomal RNA is filed under the name uncultured bacterium. RNAcentral describes it as "partial 16S ribosomal RNA". It matches the Rfam family "Bacterial small subunit ribosomal RNA", at positions 355 to 507 of the family's 1533-position model. The record is from RNAcentral.
UGGGGAAUUUUCUGCAAUGGGCGAAAGCCUGACAGAGCAAUACCGCGUGAGGGAUGACAGCCCUAUGGGUUGUAAACCUCUUUUUUCAGGGAGGAAGUUCUGACGUUACCUGAAGAAUAAGCAUCGGCUAACUCCGUG